Molecule: long non-coding RNA, 555 nt
Organism: Mauremys reevesii (Reeves's turtle)
Lineage: Eukaryota; Metazoa; Chordata; Testudines; Geoemydidae
Exons: 3
Source: RefSeq, a predicted model, not a curated record
UCACGUGUUUCAAACAGAGCUUCUACGUUUGCCGGUCGUUAUGCGUUGGUUUGUAUUUUGACAGGAAGGUGCUGGACUGACAGCCUUGGAGGCAAAAUUCUCUGGACAGAUACACACUAGAAACAUCUACACAAACCUUCUCACCACAGUGCUUUCUGUCUGUACAAACCUUCCAUCAAUCCAGACCUGAAGUAAUCAUCUCUAGUGAAUACAUCUGUAUUCUCCUCUUCAAAGGAGCAGGGAACCAGGCCCAGUGGAAGUUAGGAUGCCUGAGUAGCUGCUCUAACUUACACGAUUGGCAAAUUGCCCUUUAAGUCUGUACCACACCACCUAUCCAUCUUAUGGGAGAGUGGAGAAGAAGGUGCAGCAGAUGCUGGCACAGGAACCACUUCCACCAGCCUUAUGCCAUCGAAGAUUUCUCCUGCACAAGGUAAUUCUCAGCUGGUCAUCUCCAACCAGAAUCCAGAAUUAGGACAGAGAAGACUGGAGAAUUCAGCCCAUGGUCUUAACAUGACCCAGAAGAAAUGAAUUUAGAUGCACUGCUGUAAAACAGUA